CCUACGGGUGGCAGCAGUGGGGGAUAUUGCACAAUGGGGAAAACCCUGAUGCAGCAACGCCGCGUGUGGGAAGAAGGUUCUCGGAUUGUUAACCACCGUUCUUGGGGAAGUUAAUGACGGUAACCAUGCAGAAAGCCCCGUCUAACUACGGGCCAGCAGCCGCGGCACUACGGAGGCAGCAAGCGUUGUCCGGAUUUACUGGGUGUAAUGGGUGCGUAGGCGGUUUUGAAAGUCAGGCGUGAAAACCACAGGCUCAACCUGAAGAUUGCGGUUGAAACUGGGGGGCUUGAGUGAAGUAGAGGUAGGCGGAAUUCGCGGUGUAGCGGUGAAAUGCGUAGAGAUCAGGAAGAACACCAAUGGCGAAGGCAGCCUACUGGGCUUUAACUGACGCUGAGGCACGAAAGCAUGGGUAGCAAACAGGAUUAGAUACCCGAGUAGUC
RNAcentral lists this ribosomal RNA (440 nucleotides) under uncultured bacterium. RNAcentral's name for it is "partial 16S ribosomal RNA". It matches the Rfam family "Bacterial small subunit ribosomal RNA", at positions 338 to 795 of the family's 1533-position model. The record is from RNAcentral.